GUGCCAGCCGCCGCGGUAAUACGUAGGUGGCAAGCGUUGUCCGGAUUUAUUGGGCGUAAAGCGCGCGCAGGCGGUUCGUUAAGUCCGAGGUGAAAUCUCCCGGCUCAACUGGGAGGGGUCUUCGGAUACUGGCGGACUUGAGGAGAGCAGAGGUGAGCGGAAUUCUCGGUGUAGUGGUGAAAUGCGUAGAUAUCGAGAGGAACACCAGUGGCGAAGGCGGCUCACUGGGCUCCACCUGACGCUGAGGCGCGAAAGCGUGGGGAGCGAACCGGAUUAGAAACCCCAGUAGUCC
Molecule: ribosomal RNA, 292 nt
Filed under: uncultured bacterium
Lineage: Bacteria
Description: partial 16S ribosomal RNA
Rfam family: Bacterial small subunit ribosomal RNA
Source: RNAcentral